UACGAAGGGUGCAAACGUUGCUCGGAAUCAUUGGGCGUAAAGCGCACGUAGGCGGCUUCGCAAGUCGGUCGUGAAAUCCCUCGGCUCAACCGAGGAACGUCGAUCGAUACUGCUGUUCUUGAGGAUUGCAGAGGAGACUGGAAUUCCCGGUGUAGCGGUGAAAUGUGUAGAGAUCGGGAGGAACACCGGUGGCGAAGGCGGGUCUCUGGGCAAUUCCUGACGCUGAGGCGCGAAAGCGUGGGGAGCAAACGGG
RNAcentral lists this ribosomal RNA (253 nucleotides) under uncultured bacterium. RNAcentral describes it as "partial 16S ribosomal RNA". It matches the Rfam family "Bacterial small subunit ribosomal RNA", at positions 524 to 776 of the family's 1533-position model. The record is from RNAcentral.